GACGAACGCUGGCGGCGUGCCUAAUACAUGCAAGUCGAGCGAACGGGCGAGGUGCUUGUUUCUCUGGUGUGAGCGGCGGACGGGUGAGUAACGCGUGGAUAAUCUACCUAUAAGAGGGGGAUAACUUCGGGAAACGGGAGCUAAUACCGGAUAAUAUCUUGAACCACAUGGUUCAAGAGUGAAAGACGGUCUUGCUGUACUUUAUAGAGGUCUCGCCGCUUCUUUGGCUGGUUGUGAGGGUAACGGCUUACCAGGGCAAGGAUCCUUAGCCGACGUGAGGGGGGGAUCGCCCACAUUGGAGCGUGACCCGGCUCCAGACGCCUCCGGGAGGCACCAGAAGGGAACCUUCGGCAAUGGGGGAAAGCCUGCCGGAGCAAGCCGGCGUGAGUGAUAAAGGUCUCGGGUUCGUAAAACCCGGUUAUUGGGGAAAAACAUAUGUGGAAUUAAAUGUGCACCUAGUGACGGUAACUAAUCAGAAAGCCACGGCUAACUACGUG
This 497-nucleotide ribosomal RNA is filed under the name uncultured bacterium. RNAcentral describes it as "partial 16S ribosomal RNA". It matches the Rfam family "Bacterial small subunit ribosomal RNA", at positions 28 to 507 of the family's 1533-position model. The record is from RNAcentral.